RNA transcript from Gossypium raimondii (Peruvian cotton), 1216 nucleotides. It is a transcript of the gene named transcription factor SCREAM2, with no coding region annotated. The record is from RefSeq and is a predicted model, not a curated record. NCBI's taxonomy places the organism in Eukaryota, Viridiplantae, Streptophyta, Magnoliopsida, Malvales, Malvaceae. The transcript is spliced from 3 exons.
AUGGACCUUAUCAUUAAAACUGGAAAUACUUUAUAUUGGAUAAAUAUAAUAGAGGGGACUGAAGUAUAUACACAAUUGAGCUUAUAUAUAUUAUUGUUUUUUUUUCUUUGUUCUCUUUUAUCAUAUUGUUGAUUGUUUUCUUGUCUUCUGCUUAUAAUAGCUAAGCGCUUCUUGUGGAUUGUGACGUGUGAUAUUUGUUUUUGGCUCUGUUGAUGGUUAAAUAAUUCUUUAUUCACACAAAAGAGGAGCCUAGCCAACUACAAUAAAAGCAUCUGCGAAACUGAUAGUAAUCACAAUAGAGAAGUAUUCUGGAUAAGUAAUCACUACACUCAAACCCCAGUUGCAAGCAAGCAUCUUGUUGGUAUCAUCCCUUUCAACUGUGGAGUCUUAGUCAAACUGCCUCUAUGAUUUUAUUAAGAAUAACUGAAAAAGUAUUAAUCUUCUUGCCAUGAAGCCUAGAAUUCCUCUCCACCAAUAACUGAAGAAGUGGAGGUAAGAUUAAGGGAAGGAAGGGCUGUCAACAUUCACAUGUUUUGUGCUCGCAGGCCAGGUCUCUUGCUCUCCACCAUGAGAGCUCUAGACAACCUUGGAUUGGACAUACAACAAGCUGUAAUCAACUAUUUUAAUGGGUUUGCACUAGAUGUUUUCCGAGCUGAGUUUCGGAUCUGGUGAUGCUGAACAAAGACAAUAUGAAAAUUGGGAAAUUGGAGCUAUGCGAGUACCAGAAUUGUAGCUUUGUUAAACAAGCAUUACAGUACCAGCUAAUCUGGAAGUCUGCAUAUCAUCUAAAAAAUAGAAAAGUUGUAAGGUGUUUGGUUUGUUGGUGGAUAUUAAUAUUUGGAUGAAGAAUUCAGUAAUUUUGAUUUGGUGUUUGACAAAUGACAGCAAUGCAGGGAAGGCCAGGAUGUAUUGCCUGAGCAAAUCAAAGCAGUACUUUUGGAUUCAGCAGGGUUCCGUGGGAUAAUGUGAGGGUGAAUGGUUGGCUUAUUAUGAUGGUAUUGGUAUGAACAGAGGCAAUAGUAAAUGUUGAUGUAAAGUAAUUAGUUGCUUCUCAUCCCAGUGGUGAAGCAAAUUUUACAAGGUAGUGAGCUUUGUAGGUAGCGCAAGCAAGUAGGCAAACAAUUGAUUUCUUAGUUAUUCUAUCACUUGAGAAUUAAGUUGAUUCUGAUGGAGGUUUUUAUUUAUUAUAUUUAUUUUCUUUUUUCUUUUGGGUUAA